GCCAGCAGCCGCGGUAAUACGUAGGGUGCAAGCGUUAAUCGGAAUUACUGGGCGUAAAGCGUGCGCAGGCGGUCCGCUAAGACAGAUGUGAAAUCCCCGGGCUUAACCUGGGAACUGCAUUUGUGACUGGCGGGCUAGAGUAUGGCAGAGGGGGGUAGAAUUCCACGUGUAGCAGUGAAAUGCGUAGAGAUGUGGAGGAAUACCGAUGGCGAAGGCAGCCCCCUGGGCCAAUACUGACGCUCAUGCACGAAAGCGUGGGGAGCAAACAGGAUUAGAUACCCUGGUAGUCCACGCCCUAAACGAUGUCAACUAGUUGUUGGGGAUUCAUUUCCUUAGUAACGUAGCUAACGCGUGAAGUUGACCGCCUGGGGAGUACGGUCGCAAGAUUAAAACUCAAAGGAAUUGACGGGGACCCGCACAAGCGGUGGAUGAUGUGGAUUAAUUCGAUGCAACGCGAAAAACCUUACCUACCCUUGACAUGUAUGGAAUCCUGCUGAGAGGUGGGAGUGCCCGAAAGGGAGCCAUAACACAGGUGCUGCAUGGC
Molecule: ribosomal RNA, 544 nt
Filed under: Paraburkholderia sp.
Lineage: Bacteria; Pseudomonadati; Pseudomonadota; Betaproteobacteria; Burkholderiales; Burkholderiaceae
Description: bacterial SSU rRNA
Rfam family: Bacterial small subunit ribosomal RNA
Source: RNAcentral